AUACGUAGGGGGCGAGCGUUGUCCGGAAUGAUUGGGCGUAAAGGGCGCGUAGGCGGCCCGGUAAGUCUGGAGUGAAAGUCCUGUUUUUAAGAUGGGAAUUGCUUGGGAUACUGUCGGGCUUGAGUGCAGGAGAGGUAAGUGGAAUUCCCAGUGUAGCGGUGAAAUGCGUAGAGAUUGGGAGGAACACCAGUGGCGAAGGCGACUUACUGGCACAAUACUGACGCUCAUGUGCGAAAGCUAGGGUAGCGAACGGGAUUAGAUACCCCGGUAGUCCUAGCCGUAAACGAUGGAUACUAGGUGUGGGUGUCGCAGGGCAUCCGUGCCGCAGCUAACGCGUUAAGUAUCCCGCCUGGGGACUACGGUCGCAAGACUGAAACUCAAAGGAAUUGACGGGG
Molecule: ribosomal RNA, 395 nt
Filed under: uncultured bacterium
Lineage: Bacteria
Description: partial 16S ribosomal RNA
Rfam family: Bacterial small subunit ribosomal RNA
Source: RNAcentral